RNAcentral lists this ribosomal RNA (255 nucleotides) under uncultured bacterium. RNAcentral describes it as "partial small subunit ribosomal RNA". It matches the Rfam family "Bacterial small subunit ribosomal RNA", at positions 26 to 285 of the family's 1533-position model. The record is from RNAcentral.
AGGACGAACGCUGGCGGCGUGCUUAACACAUGCAAGUCGAGCGGAAAGGCCCUUCGGGGUACUCGAGCGGUGAACGGGUGAGUAACACGUGAGCAACCUGCCCCUGGCUCUGGGAUAGCCUCCGGAAACGGGGAUUAAUACCGGACAUGACCUGCUGCCGCAUGGUGGCGGGUGGAAAGUUUUUCGGCCAGGGUGGGGCUCGGCGGCCUAUCAGCUUGUUGGGGGGGUGACGGCCCACCAAGGCGACGACGGGUA